This 21-nucleotide non-coding RNA is filed under the name Caenorhabditis elegans. The record is from RNAcentral. Lineage: Eukaryota; Metazoa; Nematoda; Chromadorea; Rhabditida; Rhabditidae.
UGCCAUUCAGCAAGUUUUUGU